CACAUCACAUACACGUGUCUUGUUCAAAUUGUGUCAAUUGGACACAUAUUUUACUACUAUUCUAAACUAAGUUUAGAUGCGUACGUGACUGCCACGCACUUGUCAAAGCAAAAAAUAACCACGUCAUAGAUGAAAAAAUCAAAGAAGAUCUCCGGCGUAAAAAAAAACACUACCGGCCGGAAUACAUUUUCUUUGUUACCAAAUUAAUGGGAGCUAUACUUAUAUUUAUCUUUCUUGACAUUUCAUCUAUCGAUUGCAAACUAAAACUUAGCUGACCCGAAACUUUGUCCAAAAGUGGGUUAAAAAUCGGAUUUGGGUUGAAAGAAGAAAAAGGAUGCAUGACCGGCCAUUGUCCAAAGAAUGGCAGCUGUACUGCCGAAACGAAUAAAAAGAAGCAACUCUACCUUGAUUUUGGAGAAGGAGAGGCGACGGUGGUCGGAUCUGAAAAAAAGAUGGAUGCAAAAAAUUUAUCACCGGAAAAAUAUUUUUAUUUUUCGGUGAGACACGCUAUGUUUAAAGUUUGAUACAUCGUUCAGGUGUUCAACAAGAACAAGCCUCAAUAUAAGUGUUUAAAUUAAGAAUCGAACAAUUUUAAAAGGCCACAUUCCUACUAUAUAGAAGAGCGCAGAAGCAGCUCUCCGUCGGCAUCCCUGCUUGCCGACGGAUGGCAAUUUGGUAUUUGCAAUGCUCCUAUAUUAGAAUCUUGUUCACAUUGUGGACUUUUGAGCCAUGAUUGCUGAAAGAAGUGAGAUGGAGGAGAAAUGAGCGACGUCUAAGCUAUAUCAGACACCGCUAAUGGUGCAACAAUUAUUAAAAAGACGAUAUUGCAUCAACAAAGGAUUUGACCUUAGUAGAUGCACUGUCUCUUUUUUAACAAUGGUUAUAUGCUAUCAAAGAAUUGGUUUAUCUGCUGAUCAGUAUUGUUUAAAUAAUGUUGAAUUUAAUAUAUGAUGUUAAGCUUACAAGAGUUGGCGGAUUAAUUGACGCUAGAACUGUACGUUGUUGAACUUUGUAAUGUGUAGUCCACUCAUACAAGUCACUUGCUUCAAAACGUACUCUUUCCCAAGGGCACUUUUUAGCUAUAACAAGUACAUAGUUGAGUUUGAUGAAUUUGUGAGGUUGUGGUGCAUUGUCUUUGGUAGAUAUGAUCUGACUUUAGAAUAUCAUUGAUAUAUGACAAGACACUCAAUUGCUAUAAACUACUCUUUGCAGAUAAGCAGGUCGAUUAAAGCUUUCCAGGCGCUGGUCUGGCUAAGAUAUUGAUUUGUUAUAUUUUCAGGUGUAGACGAGUUGAUGUACAACUGUCGAAUUGGUGUGGCAGCAAAGGAUAACCCAAUUUGGAACUUAAGAAUAAAAAAGUUGAAAUAUGCUCUUGAGCUACUUGUAAAAUUAUUUUGCUUAAAAGAUUUUGUGCUUUUCUUAGCUUGAGUUUUAUGAGUACAUUAGUAGUAUGUGAAAUAUCUAGCUUUUUAAUAGUACAACAAUAGAAGUCAUUUAUUGUGCAGCCACGACACUAUUUGCUCUCAAAUCUAGCUGGAAUAACUUGCCACCAAAUUGGGAGGGUUCAGAUCCUUGCGGUAGAAGCUGGGAAGGAAUUGUCUGUAAAGAUUCACACAUAACCUCAAUGAAUAUCCUUGAUAUUUGAAAUUUCUGACUGUUCUGUAGUUGGCUCUACCUUCCGUUCCUCAUUAUUUUCUUUAAUUUUUCAUCCAUAUAUAGUUAUCAGGCAUGGGCUUGAAAGGCAACCAGUUUAGACAUCUUUCAUCACUAACUACAUUGGAAAUUUUGUAUGUUUUUGUUUAUAUUUUUUCUAUCUUGACUCUUCAGAUAUUGAUGAUAAGAUUCUGAAAUCAUCUUUAGUUUACCUAUAAUUCUUUCUCCAACCCUCAUCUGAGGCACAAUUGUAGUUUCAAAUAAAAAUCAUUAAGAAUGCCGUAAACAGUGCUAAAAAAUAAACAAGUUCAAUAUUCAUGUCUUUCUCUUUGCUAUUGUUUAAUUCUGGCCUCAUCCGUUCCUCAUCCCAAACUGAUUUUUAGAAGUAUUUUUAAGGAGUAUACACAUCAUCAUAUAUGAAAGAUAAAUCUUUUUUCUCAACUAAAAGGAAUAAGUUCUGUCAUUUGGAUUAGAAGAUAUCCGCUGCUUGAACAUCUUUAAUUAGUUUCUAACACUCCUCUUACCCAAAGUUAUAUAUUCAAACGGUUUAUCACUUUACUUUAUUUUAUUGUAACGAAUUUGGAGUAGGGAUUUCUCGAAUAAUGUUGGACCGAAAGGAACUCUUCCAUCAUCAAUUAGAAAUUUGAAGCAUUUAACCUUGUAAGAGAAUUUAAAUGGUGAUCAAGUAUACAGAAUUUGUAGUGUCAAUUCUGACUUCAGAAGCUAGUCAUUUUAUGCAGAAUCUUAGUUGGUUGCAGCUUCUUUGGUCCAAUUCCAAAAUCAAUUGGUUCUCUGCAACAGCUGGUCUUUAUGUAAGGAUUUACAUUUACACUUUAUCCAUUUGUUCACCUGAAGUUUAUCAUUAAUUGCUUCCUUUUUAUUCAUCUGGAUUUCAAUAGUACAUUUCUUCUAAGUCAGACUUUCGCAACUGAGUUAUUAUUCAUGCAGUUAAGAACAACUUUGGUCACAAACCUCUUUUUAUUUUUUGCUUUUCCUAUCAUUGUUGAUAUACUUUUGCCCAAAACAUAUUAGGUUCCAUUCAUGAAAAAGGUGAAUUGAACCUUAUUGAGAUUGGCUUUACUUCAAUAACAAAAAGUUACCUAUCAAUGGUGGGUUAUAGAGCAGAGAUUAAUACAAAUACUAUACUGCAAUAUUUGACAUUCUUUAAUAUGCCUUCGGGUGCCUUGUGAAAAUAAACUUUUAAGAUAAAAACAAGUAUGCUAUUAAUAUCAUGUCUUCGUAAAACUCAAAGGAGUAAAUCUUCCACUCCUAAUCAAAGGUAUUGAAAAUCGAGUACUCAAUAUUAUAUUUUAAAAUUUUAAAUUUUCACAAACAAUUGUAUGUUUGAUAAUACGUUAUGGUGUUUAUAUGUCUUUGAAGGUAUCAUAAAACCUCUCUUAUGUUGUUUGUUGCUUGCUUUUGUUUCUGGUAUAACAAGAGUGACUACUGAGUUGGGCACUGUAGGUGAUACUCAAAAGGGAAGACAUGUUGCUUUGCUUGAAGAUACACAUUUUCUUUAUUUUUGGGGUAUUGCAUCAAUAAUACCUGGUUGUAAUCACUACUUAUGGUUGACUGGAUAGCAGUAGCGUUGUAGAUUCUAUUUAUUUCAUCUGUUGCAGAUAUUGUACGUUCAUGUAUCGAAAAG
This is a long non-coding RNA of Nicotiana tabacum (common tobacco), 3298 nucleotides long. RefSeq lists it as uncharacterized. Lineage: Eukaryota; Viridiplantae; Streptophyta; Magnoliopsida; Solanales; Solanaceae. The record is from RefSeq and is a predicted model, not a curated record.